Molecule: RNA transcript, 876 nt
Organism: Macadamia integrifolia
Lineage: Eukaryota; Viridiplantae; Streptophyta; Magnoliopsida; Proteales; Proteaceae
Gene name: E3 ubiquitin-protein ligase BAH1-like
Exons: 6
Source: RefSeq, a predicted model, not a curated record
AUCCGGAAUCGAGUCACGGUUUAUUGGGUUGGUAUAAAAAACAUGGAUUCACCUUGACACAAAAUCUUCGGUUUCCUGCGAUUCUCACGUUGAGACCCGAUCGAGGUUCUCCCUGAAACAGAGCGACGGAGGUGAGAAACAGGGUUUUUCACGUUUACCCUCUGUCCAUGAUAGAUGCUCGCAUCUGAGAAGAUUGCCUAAAACCGACUUGAUUGAAGGUUGUAAACUUUAUAUCUAGGGUUUACCCUCUUUCCAAAUCAGACGAUCGAAUCCGAGGUUUGAAUCUGCAAAAUCGAAGCUUGAUUUAAGGACACAGUGUUUGAUCCAGUGUCUCUCACAUGUGGCCAUAUCUUCUGCUACAUGUGUGCAUGCUCUGCAGCAUCAGUAAGCAUCGUGGAUGGCCUAAAGUCUACAGACCAUAAAGCAAAAUGCCCUCUAUGUCGAGAGGCUAGAGUUUUUGAAGGUUUUGUCUUUUUGGAGGAGCUUAACAUUUUAUUAAGUCGCAGUUGCCAUGAAUAUUGGGAGGAACGGCUUCGGACAGAAAGAAGGGAGAGGAUGAAGCAGGCAAAGGAGCACUGGGAAUCCCAAUGUCGAGCUUUCAUUGGAGUCUGAUUGAAAUUUGAGAUGGCAAAUACAACCUUAGUUCUGUAUUGCAACUGUCUUUCUUAGCAUCUCUCAGUCUCCAGGAGGAGUCAUGAGCAGAGUUAAGUUCUUAGGAUUCAUUUGAAAAUUUCUGCCUCCUUUCUUCUUCUGCCCUUUUUUUGUCCCUUAAUGUAGUUUGUUCAUAUUUUUUUCUGGAUUUUGUCUUUGUAUAUAUAAUUCUCCAUGUUUGGCUCCGACUCUGAUGAAGAAAUAAGAAAUCUUGGAGAUUUGGUC